This 497-nucleotide ribosomal RNA is filed under the name uncultured bacterium. RNAcentral describes it as "partial 16S ribosomal RNA". It matches the Rfam family "Bacterial small subunit ribosomal RNA", at positions 28 to 507 of the family's 1533-position model. The record is from RNAcentral.
GAUGAACGCUGGCGGCGUGCCUAAUACAUGCCAGUCGAGCGAACAGACGAGGAGCUUGCUCCUCUGACGUUAGCGGCGGACGGGUGAGUAACACGUGGAUAACCUACCUAUAAGACUGGGAUAACUUCGGGAAACCGGAGCUAAUACCGGAUAAUAUAUUGAACCGCAUGGUUCAAUAGUGAAAGACGGUUUUGCUGUCACUUAUAGAUGGAUCCGCGCCGCAUUAGCUAGUUGGUAAGGUAACGGCUUACCAAGGCAACGAUGCGUAGCCGACCUGAGAGGGUGAUCGGCCACACUGGAACUGAGACACGGUCCAGACUCCUGCGGGAGGCAGCAGUAGGGAAUCGUCCGCAAUGGGCGAGAGCCUGACGGAGCAACGCCGCGUGAGUGAUGAAGGUCUUCGGAUCGUAAAACUCUGUUAUUAGGAAAGAACAAAUGUGUAAGUAACUAUGCACGUCUUGACGGUACCUAAUCAGAAAGCCACGGCUAACUACGUG